Molecule: ribosomal RNA, 253 nt
Filed under: uncultured bacterium
Lineage: Bacteria
Description: partial 16S ribosomal RNA
Rfam family: Bacterial small subunit ribosomal RNA
Source: RNAcentral
UACAGAGGGUGCAAGCGUUAAUCGGAAUUACUGGGCGUAAAGCGUGCGUAGACGGUUAUGUAAGUCAGAUGUGAAAGCCCCGGGCUUAACCUGGGAAUGGCAUUUGAGACUGCAUAGCUAGGGUGCGGAAGAGGGAAGCGGAAUUUCCGGUAUAGCGGUGAAAUGCGUAGAUAUCGGAAGGAACACCAGUGGCGAAAGCGGCUUCCUGGUCCAGCACCGACGUUCAGGCACGAAAGCGUGGGGAGCAAACAGG